GACGAACGCUGGCGGCGUGCCUAAUACAUGCAAGUUGAGCGAUGAAGAUUGGUGCUUGCUCCAAUUUGAAGAGCAGCGAACGGGUGAGUAACGCGUGGGUAAUCUGCCUUUGAGCGGGGGACAACAUUUGGAACCGAAUGCUAAUACCGCAUAAUAACUUUAAACAUAAGUUUUAAGUUUGAAAGAUGCAAUUGCAUCACUCAAAGAUGAUCCCGCGUUGUAUUAGCUAGUUGGUGAGGUAAAGGCUCACCAAGGCGAUGAUACAUAGCCGACCUGAGAGGGUGAUCGGCCACAUUGGGACUGAGACACGGCCCAAACUCCUACGGGAGGCAGCAGUAGGGAAUCUUCGGCAAUGGACGAAAGUCUGACCGAGCAACGCCGCGUGAGUGAAGAAGGUUUUCGGAUCGUAAAACUCUGUUGGUAGAGAAGAAAGUUGGUGAGAGUGGAAAGCUCAUCAAGUGACGGUAACUACCCAGAAAGGGACGGCUAACUACGUG
RNAcentral lists this ribosomal RNA (497 nucleotides) under uncultured bacterium. RNAcentral describes it as "partial 16S ribosomal RNA". It matches the Rfam family "Bacterial small subunit ribosomal RNA", at positions 28 to 507 of the family's 1533-position model. The record is from RNAcentral.